RNAcentral lists this ribosomal RNA (391 nucleotides) under uncultured eukaryote. RNAcentral's name for it is "partial 18S ribosomal RNA". It matches the Rfam family "Eukaryotic small subunit ribosomal RNA", at positions 592 to 976 of the family's 1831-position model. The record is from RNAcentral.
CAAUAGCGUAUAUUAAAGUUGUUGCAGUUAAAAAGCUCGUAGUUGGAUUUCUGACAGGAGCGACCGGUCUCGAAGCUUUGUCUUCAAGUACUUUUUGUGUCCGUCUCUAGUCAUCCUUAUGGAGAAUAUGUGUGACAUUAAGUUGUCGUGCAUGGGACCCAUAUCGUUUACUGUGAAAAAAUUAGAGUGUUUAAAGCAGGCAUCUUGCUGUUGAAUACAUUAGCAUGGAAUAAUAAGAUAGGACUUUGGUACUAUUUUGUUGGUUUGCAUACCAGAGUAAUGAUUAAGAGGGACAGUUGGGGGUAUUCGUAUUUAAUUGUCAGAGGUGAAAUUCUUAGAUUUAUGAAAGACGAACUACUGCGAAAGCAUUUACCAAGGAUGUUUNCAUUAA